CAGAUUGGGUAUGUGGAAAGAACCACUGGGAUGCAAGGGUUCAUCUGGGUUUGGGGGAGGGCUGGAACACCCCUUCCCUCUGCAAUUUCACACUGUGAAAUAUUGCUUUGGAGCUACGAAGACAUGGCUGCUGUGUUCUGUCAUCAUAUCUGUCUCUGUGAUUUCCUCUUGAGUCAGAACUCAGGGCUCACUGGGAGAGCAGAAUCGAGAAGCCCCUCUUGGGAAGCUCUGGAAAUGCUGCUGGAGAGGUGGAUCAGCCUGGGCACCCAGCUCAGCAGCCACUGUCGCUGCUCAUAUGAGAAGAAAGUGAAUGGGCACAGACCUGGAGGUGGAUCUUGUGGAAGUUAUUCUGGAAAUUCUAUUGUGUUCAUCCAGCAGGCACAGUAGUUCAUAGCUUCAUCUUCUUUCUCUAAGAAAUUCAUUUUCAGGGUCUAAAUGGAAGUUUGAGAAUUUUUACUGCCUCAAAUUUGUUCUUCUCACCUAAUUCUUUUUCAGUAGGUGAUGUCCAGACAUUUAUUCGAUGCUCUAGACCUUGAUUGUCAGUACCAGUGUAUGACUUCUCUGUCCAAGUCAGAGAGGAAUAACUUACAAGUUAACUGAGAACUCUUAUCUGUUGCCCUGGAAAUUGUUAUUUUAGGUUGCACCAGUUGCCCUAGUCCAACUGCAAGCAAAGAAGAGAGAGUCCUAUGAACAAACAACACAUGAAGAAACUACAAAAAAAGAAGAACUUCAUUCUCUUCUGGAGACUGUAGUGACAGGGGGAAACUCACAAACCCAGAGGGAGGACAGGAUGACUGCUUUCAGGAGUGGCAUCCCACCUACCGUGCUAGGUGCCCAGGAAGAAGAUGAGAAUGUGAGGGUCCUGAGACCUAAGGUCUCAGGUCAGUGCAGGAGGGUGUGGCUGUUCUGGUGUCUCAGAGAAGUAGAGGGUCAGGUGGUUUCCUGGGUUCUUUAUGAUCUGCUGCAGUUAUGAGAGGUUCUAGGGUUUCCUGCAUGAAACUUCAUGAGCUGAGCAGAUUGGAUAUGUGUGUUGACUACGUGGAAAGACUCCCUGACACACACUGUUCCUGUUUUCGGGGAGGGGUAGUUCUGUUACCUACUCACCCUUUUGCUCUGCAAUUUCACACUGUGAAAUGUUGCUUUCAAGCUAUGAAGACUCCAGCAAGGUUUUGGGGAGCUCUCCCAGAAAGCACAGGCAUCUCACUAUAGAAAGCUCUUUACUGCUCUGUGAGACUCUUUUGAGCACUAGAUGAGGCAACUUUGGAGCUGUCUCAUAUAUACUAUCAAAGAGAGGGUUGUUGUUGUUGCUGUUAUUAUUAUUAUGAUUUUGGUACCAGGGAUUAGAACCAAGGCGCUUAAGCACUCAUUCACAUUCCCAGCCCUUUUUUAUAUUUUAUUUAGAGACAGGGUCUCCUGAGUUGCUAAGUGCCUUGCUAAUCUACUGAGACUGGCUUUAAACUCACAAUCCUCUUACCUCAGCCUCCCGAGUUGCUGGGAUUUCAGACAUGCACCAGCGCCUGGUGAGAGGGGUAUUUUUAAGUAAUGUUCAUUUUCAUUUAUGGUAAUAAGGCUUUGCAAUUAAUAAUAUACGUAAAUAUUUACCAAGGACUUACCAACAAUGUUAAAAAUGCUUUCUUGUACUUUCAUUUUCACUCUUACCAAUCCCCAAAGGUAUUGGGACCUCCCUGUGACAGACCAGAUCAGUGGGGCAAAGAUAACUUACCCUCAGUCACUUUCCUGGUAUCCAGGGAAUUUGGAUGAGUAUCAGAUGCUCACUGCAGAUAACCUGAGUAAACAUUCCCCCUAAAAUGACAAUAAAAGCCAUCACUUUUUUACUUCUAAGUAUUUUCUGUGCAUGUUUAUGAAGCAAUGUGUUUGGAUCAUUUUACUAUUAAAAUUUUAAAUGGGCUUUGCAUUUGUAGGCUCAUAUGCUCUUCUUUUAGCUAACUUUAUAUUUAUAUACUACUUCCCUAAAAUGUGAAUAUCCCAAUUAAAGGCCUGUGAUAAUAAGCACCCCUGCUAAUUUCUAAUCCAUCUGAGGUCACCUGAGUUAUAUAAAAUCUUUGUGUCUGUUUCUACAUCUAUAUGUGCCUAAAUAUUUUUCAGACCCAUAAUAAAAUUAUGUUCUCAUAUAAGAAUUAUAAUGAAGAGAAAGUAUAGAUAAUAGUACUUGACACAUAAUAUUUAUUUAUGAGGUUUUUCAAGUUUUAUUUUCAUUAUUGCUUUAAAACUAGAAAAAAGAACUUAUUGGUUAAAUAAUAUUUUAGUUGUAACAGUUGUUGUAGUCCUUUUUGGAAAAUGCAUCAAAUCAACAAAAGUAUAAAGAAUAAAGUAACCCACCCACUCAAUUGGAGAAAUAAAGCCUGCCUUAAGAAUUCUA
Long non-coding RNA from Marmota flaviventris (yellow-bellied marmot), 2380 nucleotides. RefSeq lists it as uncharacterized. NCBI's taxonomy places the organism in Eukaryota, Metazoa, Chordata, Mammalia, Rodentia, Sciuridae. The record is from RefSeq and is a predicted model, not a curated record.